This 331-nucleotide unclassified non-coding RNA is filed under the name Hevea brasiliensis (rubber tree). Lineage: Eukaryota; Viridiplantae; Streptophyta; Magnoliopsida; Malpighiales; Euphorbiaceae. The record is from RNAcentral.
AGAAAAGAAAGCCAAAUUGAUGCCAAUGAUUCUAGUCAAAUCAAUGGUCACUCAAUCAGUGAGGAAAAGCAGAAUAUGCAGUUCUCAUCUGAAUGCAAGGGUGGAUUCUUCGCAGAUCAGUUUGAAAAUCUUGCAAAUUUCAGGUCACAUUAUGAGGGCACGGGGCCAGAGAUUUGGGAACAGACAGGUGGCAAUUUGGAUGCUUUUAUUGCUGCUGCAGGUACAGGUGGCACUGUUGCCGGUGUUUCCCAGUAUUUGAAGGACAAAAACUCAAAUAUCAAGUGCUUCCUUAUUGAUCCUCCUGGCUCUGGUUUAUAUAACAAAGUAACAA